GCCCGCCUAGCUCAAUCGGAUAGAGCGUCAGACUUUUAAGAAACAGUCUAGCGGGCUGUAAUAAUCAUCUGAAGGCUGCGAGUUCGACCCUCGCGGUGGGCU
Molecule: transfer RNA, 102 nt
Organism: Moniliophthora roreri MCA 2997
Lineage: Eukaryota; Fungi; Basidiomycota; Agaricomycetes; Agaricales; Marasmiaceae
Rfam family: tRNA
About the family: Transfer RNA (tRNA) molecules are approximately 80 nucleotides in length. Their secondary structure includes four short double-helical elements and three loops (D, anti-codon, and T loops).
Source: Rfam